CAGUGGCAAAAGUUGGGGCUUUUUGCGUCUCUUUUUCCUUUUCUUUUGUUUUUGAAAUCAAAUGGUGGAAAAUAACAAGCAUGGUCUUCUGUUUUUCCCACGCAUGGACAGACAAUGCUUCCCUCAGAGAACAUCUGUGGGGGUGCAAAAAGCCAGCGUCACAGUUCACAGACACAAAAAGCUCUUUUGUGCUUAGCAGUGCAGCGAGGGCUGCACUUUGGCUCUGCAUGUCCCUACAAGUCAGAAGAAGAAUAAGUAGUAAAGUGGACCUCUCAACUCACCAGAGUCUAUGACUGUGAGGUCGAUGGACCGCCUGGACUCACUCUGAACUCUCUGACCGCUGCUGAGAUCACUGGUUAUAAUCCGACACUCAUAUGUUCCUGUAUCGUUGACGUUGACGUUCUUGAGAAUCACAGAAACGUCUCCGUUUUUCAUAGACGGGUGUUUCAGCUCCACUCGGCCUUUAAAACGCUCAUGCUGGUAGCUUUCAUAUGAGCGCCCGUUUCGGUAGAAGAAGACGUAUCCGUCUGACUUAAUCUCAGUUCUUUUUUUUCAGUAGACGAGCAUAUCAAGAGACAUCUGACAGGAACUAUUUGGAUCGAGGAAGUCUUAAAAAAACAUCAGUGGAUUAAUCAAAGUAAUGGAUUCCUGCAGCUCGACAUAUUUCCAAAACAAGGCCAGGGACCAAAGAGAAAUCUGCUUUUUUUUUUUUUUUUAAAAAAAUUUCCUCUUGAUCAUGCUCUUUCACACACAGUGACAAAUGUCCUUGAUAGAUGUAGGCCAGAGGCUGUUAUGGGCCUACUUUUCUGUUGCUUGAAGCGUCCUCCAUAAAUGCGCAUGCGUCACCUGCUCGUGUGAAUGCACAAGAAGAGAAAAGAAUAAAAGCAAACUCAUCCUCCUCAGUGGUUAUUAACCUACCCAUGUGUUCAUUUACAGAAAAGAGCCUGCAAAAGCUACUGACUUAGAUUACAGCACUCGAUGUUUGUUUGUGUCUGUCUGGGUUAUUUAAGAUCACCUCAAGGGAUCAAAAACUUUCUUGAAAUCUUGAAAUGCCUUGAGUAACAAGCUCUUCUCUAGGAAAACCAGACUUUCAUUAUACGGUACCAAGUGUUAUGGAUCAGACUUUGUGGCUAUUUUAAAAGAAUAUUUCCUUUGAAAAUAACACAUUAAUUUCCUCAUGCUGUUCUGAAUCGCUCAACUCUGUUGACUGUUACCACAUGUGUAGCUAAGAACCCACAAUGACACAGAUUUGUAAAUAAGAAUAAAAUAAAAUAGAAUAGACCUUUAUUCUCAUUGGACAUGCACAUUGAAAUUGUGGGUGUGCCAUGCCAACUGGGCAAGUAUAAAGUGUAAAUAGUGAGAGUGCAGGAUCAAAUAACAAACAUGGGGAGUGUGUACAAAGCAAGAGAAAGGUCACGGAUUAGCGAACAGGUUGUGAAGUUUCUUUUAUUUCACGUGGCACACUCAGUUCCUUUACAGGAAAAUGAGGAUUGGUAGAGCCUAAAUUAAGAGUUUCCUUUUCCUUGCUUCCUUCCAACUUAAUGGUUUCAUUUCUACCACUGCAGAAAACAAAAGUACAAUAGUGUGGACCUGACAGAUUACUUGCACAUAUGCUGAUGUUACAUUUGUAUGAACAAACUAUAAACCUAUGUCUGGGAGCUAUGACGCCAAAUGCAAUAACAUGUGAUAGAGUUGUAACACAUGAGGUCAUUUUCUGGGUUCAUGAAGAAAUGUCUGCAAUUACACCAGUAAACUUUUGAUAUGUUAUAAAAAAAUUCAUAGUGACAUCAUACCUAUAACAUAGUGCACGCAACAUACUGGGGAAAACAAAGGGGAGGAAAAAAUUCUGAUAACUGCAUAUUUCUUGUGUAGCUGAUGUAUCAGUAAUCACCAGACUGGUAAAUAUGUUGAAAAUCUGACAACUUAAAACUACUGUGUCGUGUUUAUGCACACUGACUGUGUGCAAGUACAACGCAAGAAGUAUGUCCUGAGAAAGGUUUAAUCCCUGAGAGGGAGACAAAAAACUCCCAAAAACAAACACAACAAGAUCAGCAAGAUGCGACUUGACUAAUUAUAGUAUCUUAUCAUAAGCAUCUACCGACAGAAGAAAAACAGAAGAAUGGAGCCAGCCCUUGUGACUUAGAGAAGAUGUGGCAAGUUUUUAAAUGAGAUUAACUCCACAUACUCAACUCUGCUGCUCUGUGUAGUUCAGCAGUUUUGUUAAUGUAAUUUUUCCUGUCUUUUCUUUUCUUUCAGUUCCAGUAAGAUAGCGGUGGGUGAACUCCAGACAAGAUUAAAGACCUGGCAAAUAACAAUUUCUGUCUCCAGCUCUGGAGAUUUCCUCCACCUGUAUACUCCCACGAGAGCACUGGGAUCAGUUGUUCUUGGUGGAACCUAGGUUAUGGCUAAAGACCAGAGGUCCUCUGGAACAAUCUCCUCCAAGCUAUUCGCACGUCCAGUCCUGCUGCAAACACGCUGCUAUUGAUGUUUACAUUUAAACAACUGUUAAAACAAACUUGCUCUAAAAAAUUGUGAGUCACAGCAUUUGUCAGACUGCCAGCAGUUUUUUUUUUAAAUUUUAUUUUUAGCUACUCACCUUCUAAUUCCACAGUCUCAAAAGUCAGAAGAAGAAGAAGAAGAAGGAUGUGAGACAUUUCUGUUGAAUAACUCACAACUGACCCUCCUGAAGCUGCUGGAAACUCGAUUUGUGUAAAUCUGGUGUCGUGCCAAAAGCAGUCUGAGGCAAGGGGCAGUCUGCUGCGUUCAGGGACACACCCACCUGAACAUCAGCCGUCACAGCGUGCUUUCAACCCUGAAGCUGCACUCAAUGUUUCUCUCUCCUGUUUUUGUUGUUUUUGUAGGAGAAAGCACAAAGUGAACACGGGAAAGUGCCUCGAGCCCACAUUCAUGACACCCUAAAAUGAUCCUUAUUUAGGUUUUGUAUUGUUUAAUUGUUUUUUUUUAAUUUAUUAUUCCACUGUAGAUGCUGUAGAAAUAAUAUCUGCUUUCCGUCUGUGUAUUUUUGUAAAUAUCUUGUGUAAUGACAAUGAACCUUAUUGAAUCUUCAGUGUGAAUCAGUAACCAGCAUCAACAUUUAGACAACAAAGUUAACUUAGCAUGGUUCAAACAGAGCUCAC
Astatotilapia calliptera (eastern happy) is the source of this 3137-nucleotide long non-coding RNA. Lineage: Eukaryota; Metazoa; Chordata; Actinopteri; Cichliformes; Cichlidae. The record is from Ensembl.